RNAcentral lists this ribosomal RNA (497 nucleotides) under uncultured bacterium. Its description in RNAcentral is "partial 16S ribosomal RNA". It matches the Rfam family "Bacterial small subunit ribosomal RNA", at positions 28 to 507 of the family's 1533-position model. The record is from RNAcentral.
GAUGAACGCUGGCGGCGUGCCUAAUACAUGCAAGUCGAGCGAACGGACGAGAAGCUUGCCUCUCUGAUGUUAGCGGCGGACGGGUGAGUAACACGUGGAUAACCUACCUAUAAGACUGGGAUAACUUCGGGAAACCGGAGCUAAUACCGGAUGAUAUUUUGAACCGCAUGGUUCAAAAGUGAAAGACGGUCUUGCUGUCACUUAUAGAUGGAUCCGCGCUGCAUUAGCUAGUUGGUAAGGUAAUGGCUUACCAAGGCAACGAUGCAUAGCCGACCUGAGAGGGUGAUCGGCCACACUGGAACUGAGACACGGUCCAGACUCCUACGGGAGGCAGCAGUAGGGAAUCUUCCGCAAAGGGCGAAAGCCUGACGGAGCAACGCCGCGUGAGUGAUGAAGGUCUUCGGAUCGUAAAACUCUGUUAUUAGGGAAGAACAUAUGUGUAAGUAACUGUGCACAUCUUGACGGUACCUAAUCAGAAAGCCACGGCUAACUACGUG